CCGCACGUUGCACACCCCGGGCUUCUCCGAGAUCUCAAUGACGUGAAAGCCCCGAUGCAGGUGCCAAAUCGCCGCCGUUCGUGUUGCAGUUCAGCCCAAUUUCCACGGCUGAUCUGUGUCAAAGUAACGGCAAAAUCU
Molecule: small nucleolar RNA, 138 nt
Organism: Lotus japonicus
Lineage: Eukaryota; Viridiplantae; Streptophyta; Magnoliopsida; Fabales; Fabaceae
Product: small nucleolar RNA snoR134
Exons: 1
Source: RefSeq, a predicted model, not a curated record